AACGAACGCUGGCGGCAGGCCUAACACAUGCAAGUCGAACGAACCCUUCGGGGUGAGUGGCGCACGGGUGCGUAACACGUGGGAAUAUACAUUUCGGUAAGGAAUAACACAGAGAAAUUUGUGCUAAUACCUUAUAAUGACUCCGGUCCAAAGAUUUAUCGCCGAAAGAUUAGCCUGCGCUAGAUUAGUUUGUUGGUGAGGUAAGAGCUCACCAAGACUACGAUCUAUAGGGGGUUUGAGAGGAUGAUCCCCCACACUGGAACUGAGACACGGUCCAG
RNAcentral lists this ribosomal RNA (278 nucleotides) under uncultured bacterium. RNAcentral's name for it is "partial 16S ribosomal RNA". It matches the Rfam family "Bacterial small subunit ribosomal RNA", at positions 29 to 334 of the family's 1533-position model. The record is from RNAcentral.